AAACUUUCAGCAAUGGAAUGUCUUGA
Molecule: ribosomal RNA, 26 nt
Filed under: Eimeria gallopavonis
Lineage: Eukaryota; Apicomplexa; Conoidasida; Eucoccidiorida; Eimeriidae
Description: partial 5.8S ribosomal RNA
Source: RNAcentral